AGCAGCCGCGGUAAUUCCAGCUCCAAUAGCGUAUAUUAAAGUUGUUGCAGUUAAAAAGCUCGUAGUUGAAUUUCGAGAUCAGUACGCUGGUCGUGCCUUCGGUAUGCACUGGUGUCACUGGUUUCUCCCUUCUGAAGAACCGUCAUGUCAUUAAGUUGGUGUGGCGGGGAAUCAGGACUGUUACUUUGAAAAAUUAGAGUGUUUAAAGCAGGCUCGCGCUUGAAUACAUUAGCAUGGAAUAAUGAAAUAGGACGUUUGACCCUAUUUUGUUGGUUUCUAGGAUCGACGUAAUGAUUAAUAGGGAUAGUUGGGGGCAUUAGUAUUCAAUUGUCAGAGGUGAAAUUCUUGGAUUUAUUGAAGACUAACUACUGCGAAAGCAUUUGCCAAGGAUGUUUUCAUUAAUCAAGAACGAAAGUUAGGGGAUCGAAGACGAUCAGAUACCGUCGUAGUCUUAACCAUAAACUAUGCCGACUAGGGAUCGGAUGAUGUUAAUUUUUUAAUGACUCAUUCGGCG
This 514-nucleotide ribosomal RNA is filed under the name uncultured Glomus. RNAcentral describes it as "SSU rRNA". It matches the Rfam family "Eukaryotic small subunit ribosomal RNA", at positions 569 to 1085 of the family's 1831-position model. The record is from RNAcentral. Lineage: Eukaryota; Fungi; Glomeromycota; Glomeromycetes; Glomerales; Glomeraceae.